CUCUAUCUCUUCUCCGACGCUCUCUCUCUUUGAGGUAUAUACCAACAGGUGUUCUCUUCCAUCUCUUCCAUCACAAAGAGGACCACCAGUUAGUGCAAGAGAUGGAAACCAGCUUCAGUUUCCCGGUGUUGAAGAUUAUGACAUGGAGUCAGUGAUGUUCCAUCAGAGGAAUAGAAGCUUUGAGUUGAACGAUCAGUGUGCUCUUGGACCAACCACCCAAGAAGCUCAAGAGGAAAGCCAAGGAAGAGACAAUCAUCAGGAGACAUCUGUUCAAAGCAUCACAGGAAAGCUAUUCGUCAUCAUCAAUAUAUGAUAUGAUACAUCUGCUGGUACUACUAAUACUACUCCAACCGAAGACAUCUGUGAGAAACCGAAGUCAGAUUUGAAUCUGAGGCCAAAGUAGAGUCAAGAGGGGACAGAAGCAAGCGUAUGUUAAGAUGGGGAUUGAGUUUCUUCUCUGUUGCAGUUGCAGGGUUUGCUAUGUGGGUGCAUCUGAAAGAUGAUAUGGUGAUUCUUCCUCAUCUUGUUCCUACUUGAAGCCUAAGUGAUGAACGUAAAAAGCAGCUUAGAACAUAGAGCUUAAGUUUAGAUUGUAUGUUCUCUUUUGUUUACUGUGUGAUGGAUCAUGUUCAGAUACUCGUUUGCUUUUUUUCUAAUCAAAAGUUUGUCACA
Molecule: long non-coding RNA, 672 nt
Organism: Brassica oleracea var. oleracea
Lineage: Eukaryota; Viridiplantae; Streptophyta; Magnoliopsida; Brassicales; Brassicaceae
Exons: 3
Source: RefSeq, a predicted model, not a curated record